CCCGCUGAACUUAAGCAUAUCAAUAAGCGGAGGAAAAGAAACCAACAGGGAUUACCCUAGUAACGGCGAGUGAAGCGGUAAUAGCUCAAAUUUUAAAUCUGGCCUUCACGGGUCCGAGUUGUAAUUUGUAGAGGAUGUUUCGGGCAAGGCUAUGGUUUAAGUUUCUUGGAACAGAACGUCAUAGAGGGUGAGAAUCCCGUCUAGAACCGAUGGCCGCGUCCAUGUGAACUUCCUUCGACGAGUCGAGUUGUUUGGGAAUGCAGCUCAAAAUGGGUGGUAAAUUUCAUCUAAAGCUAAAUAUUGGCCAGAGACCGAUAGCGCACAAGUAGAGUGAUCGAAAGAUGAAAAGCACUUUGAAAAGAGAGUUAAACAGUAUGUGAAAUUGUUGAAAGGGAAGCGCUUGCAACCAGACUUGUGUAUCGUGGUUCCCUCGGUCUUCUGAUCGGGUUACUCCAUGAUAUCCAGGCCAGCAUCGGUUCGGGUGGUUGGUUAAAGGUCCUGGGAAUGUAUCUACCUUCGGGUCGACUUAUAGCCCAGGGCGUAAUGCAGCCUACCUGGACCGAGGAACGCGCUUUUGCUCGGAUGCUGGCGUAAUGGUUGUAAGCGGCCCGUCUUGAAACACGG
RNAcentral lists this ribosomal RNA (624 nucleotides) under uncultured fungus. Its description in RNAcentral is "eukaryotic LSU rRNA". It matches the Rfam family "Eukaryotic large subunit ribosomal RNA", at positions 24 to 664 of the family's 3401-position model. Lineage: Eukaryota; Fungi. The record is from RNAcentral.